CAGUCACAUCACAUUGAAACAUUGGUUCCCAUACGAUCACCAAAGUUAAGCAACGUUGAGCCUGAUCAGUACCUAGAUGGGUUACUGCCUGGGAAUACCAGGUGCUGUAAG
Molecule: non-coding RNA, 111 nt
Organism: Acanthosepion pharaonis
Lineage: Eukaryota; Metazoa; Mollusca; Cephalopoda; Sepiida; Sepiidae
Source: the annotation of a GenBank genome assembly